UUCGCACGUCUAGAAAUCAAAGCAUUCUUCAAGCACGAAAGUCACUUCAAUUUUCAUACAACAAACAGCACAGACAAGUCGGGGGAAAUAAUAUCAUUUGAAUCUUUAGUUUAAAAUAAUGACACGAUCUCAACUUUGAAAAGUAAAAAAGAAAAAGAAAAAGGAAAAGAUGAACAAGAGAAAAAAAGAGGGAGAGUCGGCGGGCUAGAAGAAGAAUUAAGGAAAUCCGUGAUCCUUGGGACGUUCAAUGUUUUCGCGAUAAAUCGCAUGUCUUGGCUCAGGGCGCACUGUCUAGCUGGGCCAUGCCACUCAAGAUGGCGGCGCUAUUUCCCGAAAGGCAUCGCGGGGCGGUGAUGCGUGACGUCACAUGCCGCUAUGCACAGUCGGUAACAAGUUUCGCUUUAAUACCGAUUAUUCUACACCAAUCAAAAUCCAAAGAAAUAAAUUAUUAAACGGGAAUCAAUCUAAA
This is a long non-coding RNA of Bombus impatiens (common eastern bumble bee), 469 nucleotides long. RefSeq lists it as uncharacterized. The record is from RefSeq and is a predicted model, not a curated record. The transcript has 2 exons. NCBI's taxonomy places the organism in Eukaryota, Metazoa, Arthropoda, Insecta, Hymenoptera, Apidae.